AACGAACGCUGGCGGCAUGCCUAACACAUGCAAGUCGAACGAGACCUUCGGGUCUAGUGGCGCACGGGUGCGUAACGCGUGGGAAUCUGCCCUUGGGUUCGGAAUAACAGCGAGAAAUUGCUGCUAAUACCGGAUGAUGACGUAAGUCCAAAGAUUUAUCGCCCAAGGAUGAGCCCGCGUAGGAUUAGCUAGUUGGUGAGGUAAAGGCUCACCAAGGCGACGAUCCUUAGCUGGUCUGAGAGGAUGAUCAGCCACACUGGGACUGAGACACGGCCCAGACUCCUACGGGAGGCAGCAGUGGGGAAUAUUGGACAAUGGGCGAAAGCCUGAUCCAGCAAUGCCGCGUGAGUGAUGAAGGCCUUAGGGUUGGUAAAGACUCUUUUACCCGGGUAGUGAUAAUGACAGUACCGGGAGGAAUAAGACUCCGGCUAACUCCGUGCCAGCAGCCGCGGUAAU
This 456-nucleotide ribosomal RNA is filed under the name uncultured bacterium. Its description in RNAcentral is "bacterial SSU rRNA". It matches the Rfam family "Bacterial small subunit ribosomal RNA", at positions 29 to 524 of the family's 1533-position model. The record is from RNAcentral.